UGCAAAUGACUGCUCUAGGGGAAAGAGAUGUUAGGAACAUAAUUGUGGGGGCUGAGACGGAGAGACUCGUUUCCCGCAGUUUUUCUUCAGCGCGCGUGUUUGAGGAGCUGCGAGGAGAGUUCAAUGCUUGUUCUUUUGACUGUUCAUGCACACGGAACAGACAGUCCACUUGCUCAGCGGUGAAAAAGGUUUUCCUAUAGGAGAAUUGAACAAUGGCCGUUGUCUUCUCCAUAUUGUGACCCAGGCCCCGGAGGAGCACCGUCAGGAGAAGAGCCAAGUCUAGUGAGGUCAAAGUGACAGACAGAAUAAGGAUCCGGUUUCCCACCUCUUUCCGACCCUAUCAGCACCAAUCUGUAAUGGAAUCAUAUCUGAAAUGACAGGCUUUUAGAGGAAUUGUAUACACUGUGGUAAAAUGGCUGUCAAGACAGUUGUGAAACUGACUGUAGAUGAAUAAAAUGUGGGACAAAAUUGAUGUUUAAUUUAUGCCAG
RNAcentral lists this long non-coding RNA (489 nucleotides) under Sinocyclocheilus anshuiensis. Its description in RNAcentral is "lncRNA (ENSSANG00000031510.1)". Lineage: Eukaryota; Metazoa; Chordata; Actinopteri; Cypriniformes; Cyprinidae. The record is from RNAcentral.